UCCGGCGUGGUCUCAAAUCUGCGCUGCCGCGCCGUGCGCAGGCGCGGAGGCGGUCCCUGAGCGCCUAUCGAGUGGCGGGUACCUCUCUGCUGGCGCGCCAGCAUUCCACGGCCGCUAGUGGCGUGGGCAGGACUUGGCCUGCUGAAUUGUGACUAGGACCCGACCGCGUUUUGGCUGAGAGGAGGCACUUGGCAUAUGCACAGAAGAAACCAAAGGCAGCUGCCAUGAAGACUCACGGAUCCUGCCACAUGCCCUACUAUCUUUCACAACUCGCAGGAAUGCCAAGUGUCUCGCUAUUUAACUGUGGCCAGCCUGGAACGUAGCAGGUAUACCAGACUGGUUGGGAUUAAAGCUGCGUCAUCAUGCCCGACUUAACUGGGUUCUCUUAAAAACCUUCUAAAGCCAAAAACACAAUAACCUAUGUCUUCAAAUCUAGUUAGGUGACAUCAGCGGACCUUGGACCCAUUUCUUCUGAGCAUCUCCGCCCCCAACCACUUUUAUCACAAGAGACUUUAAAAGAACUCUGCUCCCUCCCGAACAGAUUGAAAGCCCUCCCUUCGUCUUGUCACUGGCGCUUUAAUAAACUACUUGCCCGAAGGUUA
Mesocricetus auratus (golden hamster) is the source of this 602-nucleotide long non-coding RNA. RefSeq lists it as uncharacterized. The transcript has 2 exons. NCBI's taxonomy places the organism in Eukaryota, Metazoa, Chordata, Mammalia, Rodentia, Cricetidae. The record is from RefSeq and is a predicted model, not a curated record.